This 253-nucleotide ribosomal RNA is filed under the name uncultured bacterium. Its description in RNAcentral is "partial 16S ribosomal RNA". It matches the Rfam family "Bacterial small subunit ribosomal RNA", at positions 524 to 776 of the family's 1533-position model. The record is from RNAcentral.
UACGGAGGGGGCUAGCGUUGUUCGGAAUUACUGGGCGUAAAGAGCUCGUAGGCGGCUUGUCACGUCGGCUGUGAAAACCCGGGGCUCAACCCCGGGCCUGCAGUCGAUACGGGCAAGCUAGAGUUCGGCAGGGGAGACUGGAAUUCCUGGUGUAGCGGUGAAAUGCGCAGAUAUCAGGAGGAACACCGGUGGCGAAGGCGGGUCUCUGGGCCGAUACUGACGCUGAGGAGCGAAAGCGUGGGGAGCGAACAGG